RNAcentral lists this small RNA (107 nucleotides) under Marmota monax (woodchuck). Lineage: Eukaryota; Metazoa; Chordata; Mammalia; Rodentia; Sciuridae. The record is from RNAcentral.
GCUGGGUGCAGUGGCCCACGCCUGUCAUCCCAGCAGCUCAGGAGGCUGAGGCAGGAGGAUCACAAGUUGGAGGCCAGCUUCAGCAACUUAGCGAGGCCCUGUCUCUA